This 492-nucleotide ribosomal RNA is filed under the name uncultured bacterium. Its description in RNAcentral is "partial 16S ribosomal RNA". It matches the Rfam family "Bacterial small subunit ribosomal RNA", at positions 29 to 507 of the family's 1533-position model. The record is from RNAcentral.
AGUGAACGCUGGCGGUGUGCGUAACACAUGCAAGUCGAACGGCAGCACAGUAAGAGCUUGCUCUUACGGGUGGCGAGUGGCGGACGGGUGAGGAAUACAUCGGAAUCUACUUUUUCGUGGGGGAUAACGUAGGGAAACUUACGCUAAUACCGCAUACGACCUACGGGUGAAAGCAGGGGAUCUUCGGACCUUGCGCGAUUGAAUGAGCCGAUGUCGGAUUAGCUAGUUGGCGGGGUAAAGGCCCACCAAGGCGACGAUCCGUAGCUGGUCUGAGAGGAUGAUCAGCCACACUGGAACUGAGACACGGUCCAGACUCCUACGGGAGGCAGCAGUGGGGAAUAUUGGACAAUGGGCGCAAGCCUGAUCCAGCCAUACCGCGUGGGUGAAGAAGGCCUUCGGGUUGUAAAGCCCUUUUGUUGGGAAAGAAAAGCAGCAGGUUAAUACCCCGCUGUUCUGACGGUACCCAAAGAAUAAGCACCGGCUAACUUCGUG